UGCAAUCCUUGGUGUGUCAUCGAGGAUAAGGCGGGGAUAAUUAUGAAGGUACCCUGCUGUAUUAGUGUCGUCUAAAGCUCGUGCCAGAAGACUCGGUAAGGCGAGAGACACAAACGUUAAUCUCACUGAUUAGGCGUAAAGGGUGUGUAGGCAGGUUUAAUAAAAAAAUAUUAAAGUUUACUAUUAAAAACAUAGAAUAUUUAAAUAAAAAAAAAUCAAAUAAAAGUUGCAAUGAUACUAUUAUUAAAAAUAUUAUUUUUUUUUUUUUAUUUUAGUAAGAAUUUUAUAUUUUUUAUAUAUUUAAGGAUUAACUUUUUUUAUUUUUUUAUUUGUUAUUUUAAAUUUUAUAUUUAAUUUUAAUUUUAAUAUUUUUUUUGUAUUGAAUCUAGAAUCUAAAAGAGGUAAAAUUAAUGGUCUAUGUAGGAGUGCAAACUGUAAAUAUAGGCUAGAAAACUAGAGGCGAAGGCAUUUUACCCAUAAAGAUUGACGCUGAGAAACGAAGGUGAGGGCAGAAAAAAGGAUUAGAGACCCUUGUAUUCCUCACUGUCAACGAUGAAUGGUGGUUGCUAGUUGUGUGUCAACUGGUUUACGAUGUUAACACGAAACCAUUCCGCCUUGUGAGUACGACUGCACAAGUUAAAAACAAAAAAAUUAUCCGGUUUAGGAACAAACAAAUUGAACC
This 682-nucleotide ribosomal RNA is filed under the name Dacrymyces sp. Its description in RNAcentral is "partial small subunit ribosomal RNA". It matches the Rfam family "Bacterial small subunit ribosomal RNA", at positions 409 to 940 of the family's 1533-position model. Lineage: Eukaryota; Fungi; Basidiomycota; Dacrymycetes; Dacrymycetales; Dacrymycetaceae. The record is from RNAcentral.